GACGAACGCUGGCGGCGUGCUUAACACAUGCAAGUCGAACGGAAAGGCCCUGCUUUUGUGGGGUGCUCGAGUGGCGAACGGGUGAGUAACACGUGAGUAACCUGCCCUUGACUUUGGGAUAACUUCAGGAAACUGGGGCUAAUACCGGAUAGGAGCUCCUGCUGCAUGGUGGGGGUUGGAAAGUUUCGGCGGUUGGGGAUGGACUCGCGGCUUAUCAGCUUGUUGGUGGGGUAGUGGCUUACCAAGGCUUUGACGGGUAGCCGGCCUGAGAGGGUGACCGGCCACAUUGGGACUGAGAUACGGCCCAGACGCCUACGGGAGGCAGCAGUGGGGAAUAUUGCACAAUGGGCGGAAGCCUGAUGCAGCAACGCCGCGUGCGAGAUGACGGCCUUCGGGUUGUAAACAGCUUUCGCCUGUGACGAAGCGUGAGUGACGGUAAUGGGUAAAGAAGCACCGGCUAACUACGUG
Molecule: ribosomal RNA, 468 nt
Filed under: uncultured bacterium
Lineage: Bacteria
Description: partial 16S ribosomal RNA
Rfam family: Bacterial small subunit ribosomal RNA
Source: RNAcentral